Passer domesticus (house sparrow) is the source of this 11110-nucleotide long non-coding RNA. RefSeq lists it as uncharacterized. The transcript is spliced from 2 exons. NCBI's taxonomy places the organism in Eukaryota, Metazoa, Chordata, Aves, Passeriformes, Passeridae. The record is from RefSeq and is a predicted model, not a curated record.
CCUCACAGCUCACGUCACCAUCUUGCAGGGGUGUGCAGGGGCUGGAGGCCACCACUGCCCAGGCCUGCUGCCUGAGGAGGUCGGCUCGGCGCUGCGGCUGCCACGGGAAGUCCAUGCCCUCAGCCUUCUCCUCACGUCCAUCCGGCAUGUCCCCAAGAGCAUGUGAGGAGCCUGGGCAGCGCUGGGGCUGCUGCUGGCCCUGCACGGCAGGCGUGCACCACCAGCACACCAUGGAGCAGGUCACCACCUGCUCCAGGGAGGCCCACAACCCUCCCCACCUUUAUGGCCUUUGCCAAAAUUGGGUAGGAAGUGUCUCUUGGCUCCACGCCAGGUUAAAGCUUUGAAGCCUGUGGCUGAUGGGUGCUGGCUUUGGCCACCCCUUUAGCCAAGCGCGUAUGAAACAGCACUGGGUUCAGCACUGCAAGCUGUGCUGCUCCUCCUGCACCAGCCGGAUCGCGUCCAGCGCUAGCAUCGGAGCGUGGUACAUAUAAAACCUCACGGAAAUUAAGAGUCCUUCUGCUGAGAGUCAUAAAAUGUAAUCAGUUCCAGUGGGGGUCAAACAACAAAAUGCUCCUGGGAAUAAUUUGGACUUUGUUUCUUCAGUUAACCAGAAUGAAUCUACUAGUGAUUCAUAUUUCAAUGGUGUAUAGACCUUGUGCAUGUGACCAUCCUUUGUUCUAAAAUUAAGUCUGUCCCUUCUCUGUCUUUAUUUUGUAAACUAUCAGUUCAUAAGGAUUUAGGGAAAGAUAAAAGCUCCUGUAAAUUGUUAUGGUUUCACAGUGUUAGGGAAUGCAGAACAGAACUUUCUUGAUUUUUUUUAACACAUUCUACCCCUAAAUCCUACUCUUAGAUGUAGCAUAAGCUUUGCAUGCAGACCAGACCAUGAACUAGUUUAACUAGUGUUAUUUUGGCAUCAGUUUAGUGGCUGUGCUGAGAACUGUCAGGUGGACACAUUGAGAAACAAGGUGUAAACACUACAUUAGCACAUUAACACAGAGUUUUAAAGGUAUUUAGUUAAGUAGGAGUAAAAAGGGGUCUAGAUGAGCCAGUGAAAGCUUUGUGCAUAGACUAGUUUUUCCUUUUGUCUGGAUUUGGCUUGUGUAGGAACUUCGCUUAAUUCUGUAUCAGAUGACUGGUGUAAAUAUAUGCCUGUCCCACCAAAGGGAAAUUUGCCUCAAAGUAUCUGAAAUAUGUGUCCUAGUAGGUUUCCCUCCUACAGUAGUAGCGAAGAUAAAAAUCCAUCUGUGUCAGCUGACUUACACGCUGUUUCCUUUACACUUAGGUGUAAUGUAUUAAUUCCUUUGACAAUCAAUAACUAUGUAUUUCAAUAGAUAAUUAUUUUCUCCAGAUGAAUAUGUUUUAAAGCCUUUGCAAAAUGUCUGCAAGGGGAAAAGCUUUGAACUUUGUCUGCAAGGGGGAAAGUGUUAGAACUUCUAAAGAAAUUGAAUGAAGAGUCCACAGUAAGAUGAAAAAGUAUUUAGAAGGAUAGAAUGUUACCCACAUAAGUUCAAUUAUACUAAAAUUACCCGUGUGUUCAUUAUGAAACCUGAUUAUCUUUUCCUAAUAAAAAUAAUAUGGAUGAGUAAGAUAUGCAAUUUUUCUGAAGGAAUAUGGUCAGAAUCUUUAAAGAUUCAGUGGUGCUCAGUAUGUCCAAACACUGGAGCAGCUGUAACAUCAGGACACAAAGGCCAACAAGCGAGAACGCAGCACCUAGGAAUGUAAUUAAGGUAAAAUAAAAGGUGGUUAUAUGGGUUCCAUUGUAGUUGCUAUUUAAAUAAUCCUAUCUGAACUGCACCACUGUACAAAAAAAAUAAUCAAGUCUUGCAGGUUUGCGCUUAUGCAACUUGAAAACAAAAUCUAUCAGUUGAGCCAGGUCCUUGGCACUACUCCAACAGUUCAAAACAGGUCUAGAGCCAGCUUAACUGCCCCAGCCAUAAGUAUUUUCACUUCUCCAGAAACAGCUCUGCCAGGCAUAGGCCUGCUGAGACAGGGUGCACUUCCUUACUUCUGAACUCUGCCUCCCAGAACACAGAAACAAAAGGCAUGGGAAGCAUGGACCUGCUCUGCAGUGUAUCUCUGCCACCAGAAUGCUCCCCCUGGGCUAGGAAUAGCUGAUUAAUUCUUUAAACAACAAAACAAGUUCCAAGAUAAUUAAACAAAAUGUUUGUCAUAUCUUUCUUCUCCUAUCCUCCAUUUUGUUUUUUGGGGUUUGUUUGUUUGUUUGUUUGUUUUUGUUUUGGUUUGUGUUUUUUAGUUCUUCAUCUUUGGAGAUAGGAUAGAAUAAGCAUUGAGAAACUAAUGUCAGCUGGCAGGGUUUGGGCAUGUUUGCUUUUCCUUGGUCUUUAGUGAAUCUAAGGUAUCAUUUUAGAAUUCCUGUUGCUUGUUUUAUACAAACAUGCUCUCAAGCUUCUGUCUAGUGAGGAAGUAAUGACAAUUUGUGGAGUAAUAAAAAGGAGUCAACAUUUUACAAUGUUGAAAAUUGUUAAUAAUCAAUAUUAAAAAGUUUUAAUCUGCUGACAGUCAUCUACUUGUUUUAUGCAUCUGGCUGCCCUGCUGUCUUAUCUUUCAGGCUAAGUGGAGUCUGCUCUGAGCUAUGUGUCUUUGUACAGUGGUUACUCUGGAAACAUGGAGGUAGCAGCUCUCCAAAGCAAGGGCUUGAGCCAUUGCUGAAGGCCUGAGCAAGAAGUAGUCCAGGCAGUACAUGUGAUUUUCCCAGGUUGAUGUGAAUGAAUUAAGAGCAAAGACACUGCCUCUAGGAGCAAAAAACCCUACCAGCCCCAAAACAAAACAGAACAAAAACUCAACCCUCUGUCUAGCAGUUGCCUAGAGCAAGGGGAUGGAAAUUUUGGUUUUGUGUUCUUGUUGCCUAGAGUUAUGUAAAACUUUUCCCCUUUUAUUACUAGCAACAAAUCCUGGGGCUGACUGGGUAUUACACUGUGUGAGAAGGAAAAAGAAAGAAAAGAGAGAGUCAUUUGAGGCACUGAAUGGACCUGAGGACCGAGCACAGGGUUUGAGAAGAAAUUUCUUACCAUCUGUUUAUUUAAAAAACUUGAAAUGAAGGGAUAGAGUUCAUACUGCCCUAUUAUCCUCCUGACAGACAAAUUAAUUCAAACAUUCCAAUAAUGAUUUCCUAUGCCAGGAAGAAAAUGUUAUUUUUCCUUUUAUGACAAUCAGAUGUUUAGUGGGAGGAACGCUCAAUGUGCAUCUAAGAGAUAGGUGAUGCCAGUUAUGAGAAAAACGGGACUUCACACCCUCAAACUAAACCUGUUUGGUUGCCAGUACAGUAAGCUACCUGAACAGUGCAGGAAUAGGAUUAUAAUAAUUUAAAGUGUAGUAGGUAACACAUAAACCCUCUCAUCUAGAGACACCUAAACCUGUAUGGCUCGCUUAGCAAAAUGAAAUGAUGGCUAAUGUUCUUCAGACUCAGGCUUGUCUCUUUCUAUGUUUGACUGAGAAGGGAAAGACACCUGAUCCAAGACACCUGAGAAAGAUGCUGAUUUCAGCCUGUUUAAAGCUGCUUCACUGGUAUAAAUGAUCACAUUCUGUCCUCUUUUUCUGCAGAUGCAUGAAACCCUGGGUCAAAGAAAGAUUUUUAUCUGCAUCCUAUUUUGGAAGGUUAGGUAGUGACAGAGAUGAACACAUGACAACAAAAAAAUUAAAAGGCAACACAGGUACCUGUUUGAAAUUACACUUUUCAUUGUUUCAACAUUCACCUUCUAAUGUGCUCCAUCUCCUUAUUACUUUAUGUGAACCUUGUCUCAGAAAAAGAUAAGAAAAAUGUUAUGCACCAGGUGAUUCAGAUGGCUCCCUAUUCUGACACUUUGCAAAGUAAGUGGUGUAUAGAUGUUAUCUGUACAAGGUGGACUUCACCUUGCCUUUCACCACUCAAUUUCAAAAAUAAUAGAUUUAUAACAUUUCUGUUAAUGUCACCCUUUUCAUCUUGGUUUUGGUUUUGUUUUUUCUCUGAACUUGUUACAGUUGUCUAGAACGUAUAGUUCCAUAAUAGUUUAUUUAGAUCAUGAGGAAAAACAAAUUGUUAAUGUUACUUUAACUGCAUUCUUAUCAAUCAGAAGCACAGUUUGGCAUUGAACUGUCAUAUCCAGCUUCACAGCAGUAGUGUACAUCAAAAGUUGGCUUGCUCUGAUGUUAUAAAAAGUUUUCAUGGGAGACAGAAUUCACAAUUCCUUGGGAUAUUUAUAGUAUUUAAGAAUGCUUUUAAGUCACUUGUAAUGGCAGAUGCCAUUGGGUACUCUGUCAUAAAUGGUUUCCUUAUUCAUAACAAGUAAUGCAUAUUGUAGUACAUUUCAAACCAGGCCCACAUUAAACUUGGUAGAAAAAAUAAAGACCACGUCUGUAUUACUGUAUGAAUUCCAUUUGGAUCUUGUUAAUGCCAUGUUGUGUUUUUUGUUUUGAAUACAGCUCCAAAGAGGGAUUUUUAGCCUUCAAUUUGAUUGUAUGGACUUCAUGAUGGGUUUCAUUGGAUUACAUCUAAAGCUCCAACCCAGGCUAAAUGGUGUUACCAUCAGGUGGAUAAUGGGCUUGUUACAACAGAACUAACCUUUGAGUGGCUUGGGCAGCAGGUCAGCAGAGUAAGAAUCCUGCUCUCCCACUGCUGGCUCCCUUCUCCCUCCCACAGGAACCUCUUCCUAUCUCUACUACACAGCCUCUCCCCAGGAGUGCUUCUCUUCCCCCAGGGGAUGUAGCUGUGGAUUGCUGCCCCUGCAAACACUGAGAGGGCCACAGUGCAUCCUGGCUUGGAUUAGAAAAGCAAGAGGGACUUGAAGGACCACUGGGACCUCUGAAGGGCUGGGAUACCAGUUCUGGAAUCUAAAUAAGCUCCAGUCACUGGUCCAGAAGGAUCCCAGUCAUGGAGUUAACAGUUGUCAAUGUGCUGAAAAACAGUUAGAAAUUACUUACCUGUAAGUGAUAGGAUCAAUUCACAACACACAACUCUUCCUAGAACAGGAGCAGCCACAUUCUAACAGAAAUUGCCAAGUUUGGUAAGAUUUGACAUUUCAUUCUGGCUUCUGCAGACUAGAAAGCCCAGUUCCCUUGGAAAUGACAGUGGCUUCUCACACAGUAUGUGUGAGGCUCCUAGCACUACUACAAGGAUUUUCACCUUCUUCACACAACACAUUUUUGUCCUUUAUGAACCAGUCCCACUUGCUGUCCCCGGCCUUACCUUUGCUUCCAGCUCUGAUCCCUUCCAACUUCUGUUCCUCACCAUACAGUCAUAAUCUUCCCUUUAAAUACGUAUGCUCAGUUGCCAGCUUUUCUUCUAGAAUGUCUGUGGCCAUUCAUUAUUGUAACUUGCACUGUAAUUAGCAAGUAACAAGUGAUUUCACAGCUGUUGAAAAACUUACAAAAAAUAAAUUUGGAACUUAAGGGGCAUGUAGAUCGAAUUAUUUACAAUCAUUGUUAAACAGGUUAAAAACCAGGUGAUUCUUCUUUAAUUUCUAUUCUUUCCUCAGCCAUUUAACAUCACAUGAGAGGAUUUUGAUUUUGUAAGUUACACAGAUCCCUUAAUCAGCAGUUCUCCCCCAUCUCAUAAAAAUCAAAGAGUCUGGACUGGGAGCUUCUCACACGUUGAGGCCUCUAGUCCAAACAUCUUAAGAACUGUUGGUAUAAUCCACACUGGGAAGAUGUAGCUCUGCUGAUUUCUGAGGGUUUUUUUCCUCAGCUUUAUGUUUUUUGGGUUUUUAAUUGUAAUACAUUUAUGUAGAACUAAGCAGAUAAGACUCUGUGUGGUUGCCUCAACGUGCCACUUGAGUCAGUCUGGCUUCAUGAAAGCAUUGAAUUGACACCCAUCUUAGUUUACAGUUCUACUUGUUGCUGCUGAGUCCUCCCUACCGCAAUCAUUCCACAGGCUCAUAACUCAACAACCUGUCCUUUUUCCUGUCAACACAGCUUUCCUCUCAAAAAUGUUGUUAACAAAACAAAUACCUUCAAAGAGGAUGAGACUGCUAUUGCAUGCGUAGAUUUUUUUAAAAAGUCAGUAAUUUGCUGAGGUGAUGAGAAUUUGGGGGAUUCUGUGUUAUAAAUACACGGGUGUUUACAGUACAUGUAUGAGUUUCUUGUAGACAAAGUCAGCACUCAGGAGACUUCAGCAUAUAGAUAGAAAUACAAACAGGUGAUGUUUAGUUCUGUCCUAGAGAAUUAUGUACCAGACACAGAGACUGGAGGUUCUAUUUUUUAACAGAUGUUUGAAUUCUCCACCAUUUAAAAUGCUGUAGAUGAGGUAGGGGCUGAAAAAGGCAGAUUCUGAUGGCAAAGGGAACCUUUAUAUUGCUGCUAGCCUACAGUUUUCACUUACUGUUUUUGAUUAUUCUUGAAUUGUAUAUUAGGUAUGGCUUAUUCAGGUGUUUCUCAAGGGCAAUGAGUGUUUUGUUUCAGCAGAGUGUAAAGGUUACCAAAAGAGUGACUCUUAGAAAGUAACAAUUAAGUAGAGAAAUUUAGAUUUCAUUUACAGGAAACUAUUUGUGAGAUGUAUCAUCACUCAGAGAACAGACUUAGGUUGGCAUAAGCUUAAUGGCUUUCUGAUGUUAGGCAUGGUAUAGAUCUGAAUGUGAUUAAGUUAACAGGAAUUCUGCCACUCUUUGGUGACAAUGACCUUGAGUCCUGAACUGAAAAAUAAGAACAUCUUAGGAAGAGAGUACUCUGAAUAAUUGAAGUAAAAUAUUAGAAAAUUUCAGGAUAAAUGGGAAGAGCAGACCUCAGGAUGAGUAGUUAAAAAGAACUACAACUGAUUAUUAUGCAAAAACUGAGAAGCUUAAAAAAAUCCUUAAUGUUACAGGUACCAUUUUUAGUCUUCUGGCCACCUUAUUUCUAUGUGAUGGCAUAAUUAACAUAACUAUGGAGGCAAAUUUCUUUUAAACUGCUUUACUCUUAGCAAUGCUAUCAGCCCUAGCAGAAUCUCUAAACCUAGUUUUCAGCCUAUUAGUACAGGAAUAAUUUGUUUCUCAACUGUUACUUUGAAACAUAUUGAUUUUUCAGCCUACACAUGCUUUUACUUGUUUGUGAUCUUAUCUUACUCAAAUUUCAGAACCACACAAUUGACUGCUAAGAUAAAGAAUGCAAAAUUAUUCACCCAGUUUGGCUUCAGACAAACAAAUGGAACUCAACACAAACAAAGAGAGUUGUAUCCAAGCAUUAUUUGCCUGAGUUCUUAAUAUUUCAAUACUUUGUGGAAAAAGCAAGUUGGGUAACAAGCUGUUUUGACUUCACUUCCAGUACACUUUCUGGUUUCUCUAGUCUCCAAAGCCAAGAAUCCUGUCUAAAGAUGCCACAAAGCUUCAGCAUGCUUAGGGCAAGACAGUGCUGUGUUCUUUUUCAAUCUUUUGUUGCUACACUUUGGAAUAAAAUAAAAGUUUUACCAUAGUGUAUAAAAUAAAAGCAGUCUAAGAUGUUACCUAAAUCCCCCACACUUAUUUCAUAUGUGAUUUAUGCUUAGAGGAAAGAACCUUGAGGUGGAACUGGUUACAUUUGCAUUUUCUGCUGAAAUAAUUCUGAGUUUGAAGCAUGUCAUUAGGAGCACCCCGCUUGGACAAAUUUUCAGCAAUCAGAGCUGCAGUCUGAUUGAAAUCUCCCCAAAAUGGGGCACCUCAGCCACCAGGUCUCUGGUCUUCAACCUGUUGACAAAUGGCCUGUGCACAGAGCAUCCAGAUCAUCCAUCUCAGUGUCAGCUGACACAACUUCCUCAAAGAACAAUUGGGAUUUUUCUGGGAAAACUCAACCCUUGCAAGUGCCCAUCCUGGCAUGAGACUGUUGCUCCACUGUUAUGUAGGAAACGGGACCAGCUUUGUGGAGAGCAGCCUCUUGCCUGCUCCAGGUUAUUGAACCAGCAGCUUGAAAGCCAAGCUCCCACAGCCCCAGAAACAUCCUGAGAGUCUGCAAGCCUGAACUGUGGCCCUGUGAAGGACUGCACUUUCGAGCUAAGUAAAAUAUUUUUGAUUAAUUGUCUUCAUUUUGUAGCAACUUGUUUGUCUGCAUCAGUACCAGGGGGGACAGGACUGACUUUUUGAACAACUUUUGUUUGUCCCCAGCAGGCCUUGAUACUCCUUGCCCAUGUUAUGCAAGGCUGGCCUACCCUGCAGGUGACAGAAUUGUCUGAAGUACUAACACCACCUUUCUUUACAGACAGGGCCACUCUUUCAAUGACAACUGAAUGGAAAGUGUUUGUCCAUUUCUGUUUUCUUUUAACUUCCUCUGCAGAGAUCUGGAGAGUGCCUGCCUAUAAAUACUUGCUUAUAGGGUACUUGGGAAACUACUGUCUUCCACAGGGAUCAUGUUUUCAAGUAAUAUUUUACAGAGAGGUAAUAAAGGACCUGAAUUUAAUUUUUCUGCAUCAGCAUCUCAGUCAUUCAUUACUUUGACCAGGUGGAAAAGUCUCAUCACAAAAUAAAGGCAGCAGUAUAAAGUGAUGGUUUCAGAGAAAGCAGGAUCCCAAAGCUAAAGGGCUCACAGUGUAAUGGAGAUAAGCAAUCUUUUCCAAAUCAAAAUAAGUAGUGAUAUCCACCAAAUAUGAUAUGCAAAUUUUCAAGCCUUACUAUAAAAACUUUUCCAUUCAAUUCUGAAUGUGUUUCAGACUGGUCUAUGAAGCAAAAAAUAUGUAUUAAAACAGAGACUAGAAUGUGUGACUGAAUUCCAAUUCAGUCUUUGCAACUGAAUUCCAGACAUCAUAGAAUGAUUUUCAAGAUGUUACUCAAAGCAAUGGAAUAUGUAUUUAAAAGCAAGCUUAAUCUUGACUGCAUUUUGAAUGAAAACAUUCGGAAAUUCAUGCUAAUGCAUUUUUUUAUUACACUUUAAUUUUUUUACAGUAUUCAAAAAAACAAUUGGAAAUUAAAGGCUGCAGUCCUGCAAAUAUCACCAUUAACUUUAAUAAAACUACCAGCAUGCUGUUAGGGGCUGCUAAGUACCAGAAUUAAUAAAUGUAUAUUUUCUUAAAAGUCUUUGCUGAAGCAGUACAAAACUGUGUCAGCAUUAACAAUGAAAUCCUUCCAAUUUUUCAAGAUGUUGAUGAAAGUAUCAUGAAUUUUUGAAUAUACAUAUCAAUCAAAACAACCAGCCAAAAAAAAUUAAAGUUUUGGGAAAGACCAGACCUUUAUUUGACAAUACACUGCACAGAAAUGGUUAGGACUCCCUGAAAUGGAUGCAAAAGAUUUGCUGUGAACGGCUCACUUUGCUUUUGAGAAGUACAAGAGACAAAGAGUAUUCCCAAAAAAAUCACCAUGUGUUUCACAGCCCCUAGAGAACAUGGAAAAAAGACUUUAGAAAUGUUUGUCCAGAGAAAGCACAUAGAGAGUUUAAAUCAGUUUCAGUAAACCUUGUAAUAAGUUUCACUGUAUUAUUUUAAAGAUUAUUUAAGAAACUUAACCUAUAAUAGUAGUUUUUACAGUACUGUCAUUCCUGAGUAAGAAUUACUAAUUUCUUGGUGCUGUUAAUAUACAUUUGUUAAUUGGAAAAUGGUGGUCAGAGAGAAUGUCGGAAAUAUUUUUUUUUUUAAAUCUUGUGCUAUACUUAGCCAUUUUUCCUCUUCUGGGUGAAAGAGUAGUGGUAGCUUUCAUUCUUUGCCCUCAUUACUCCAUGAAAUUAUUAUUCUGUGUGUGAUUAUCUUUCAAUCCAAAUUGUACCUCACUCACGACACAAGGGUGGUAGGAGCAUUCUGCCAGAAAGCAAAAGAAAAAAAGCUAUAGAAGGACUAUCUAAGUGAAAAUGUUUGCAAGUCAAAGGGAGGGCACGUUUAACUUCACAAAAGAAAAUGCUGGUUUCUGUUGUAAUAUUGGUUACACAAUCACAUAAGGUUUUAUUUUUAAAAGCAAGUAAAAAAAUUAUAGUGCAUCAGCUCUUUGACUGGUGUAAAUCAAGAUGGUUUUAUUGACUUUGAUGGAGCUAUGUCGAUUUAUACCAGAUGAGGAUUUGGCCUACUGUAUGGAGAUAUUUUUAUUUCUCUUCUCACUCUAUCAGUUAAAGAAAGGGUAAUAAUCAGCAAGCUGGAAGCAAUUAUGCGUGUGUGAGGAGGGGGUAGUUUCAUAAUAGCUAACUUGAUAUUAUUUCCUGUAAAAUGCAUCAGGAGACUAAAGCCUGGAGCCUGCUGACCAGUUUGUUUUGUAAAGAAAUAUUUGUUCAAAUCUGUUUAUAAUAAUUUGUCAAAUUAUGGGCAGAUUCAGCUGAAGCACUUGCCUUCCACUGACACCAGAGGCAGCAGUUCUGGAGCUGAUCAGGGCACCAAGUGGCACCCAUGAGGGAAGACCCAGGCAAAAUUUGGCUUUCACUUGCAUCUGUGUAAAUCUGGAAUAAUUCUACCAAAAUCGGUGGAAAUAUUUUCUAUUUACAAGUGUGCCUAAAAGCAAAAUUUGGCACCAUCUUCAACUGAGCAUUUAUAAGCUGUUUCUGGCAACAAAUAAGGAUGGGGGAGGGGAAGAUUAUUCAUUGCAGAUGCUUUGUAAGAUUACCAGAGGCUUUCUGGUGACAAUAAAGUCUACUAACAUAGGCACUUUUGGAAAAUGCUUUUGAAAAUGUGAUUUGAGGGUGUUUCCUGUUAUCCUUUAAUUCUUACAUCAUUUCAUGGUGGUAAAAAAUACUAACCAAGACCUCAAGUGAAAUUACUUAAAUUGUUCUCCUUACUGUGGUGAGGCAGAUGAGUCCCAACCUGCAAUACCAAGUGGACCAAAGCAAUUCAUGGCAAGCUAAGAUUUCUGUGAAAUCAUCUUGGAUGAAUGCAUUUCAUAAGGUGCAGUUUAAUUAUUGUUAAGCAGCCACACAUUGACAAGGGAGCUGAAGACAAAACAAUCACAACUAAAAUAAACUGAAAGAUUUGGGAAUUUAUUUUUAAGUUACAAUGCAGAUUAUUCUAAAGUACCAAUAUUAGCACUAUAAACACUAAAGUAUACCAACCAGCUUUUGCAAUAUAGCUCAUUCAUCUGAUCUCUUUGCUCUCAGGAAUUAUUUAAUUUUUGCAAAGUUUUUGUGAUGUUUUAACUUAAGAAUAUAAAUAAAGUGACUUCCUGUCCCACUAGGGUGAACAUAGUUAUACUAGGCUAAUGGUGCUUUUAGCACUAUAGCUUAUACACAUUUAACUACCUCUUUUUGAACUGAUCUACAGGUAAAUGAA